GCUGGCGGCAGGCCUAACACAUGCAAGUCGAACGUGAAGCAGGAGCUUGCUCCUGUGGAAAGUGGCAGACGGGUGAGUAACGCGUGGGAAUCUACCCAGCUCUACGGAAUAACGCAGGGAAACUUGUGCUAAUACCGUAUACGUCCUCCGGGAGAAAGAUUUAUCGGAGUUGGAUGAGCCCGCGUUAGAUUAUUUUGUUGGUGGGGUAACGGCCUACCAAGACUACGAUCUAUAGCUGGACUGAGAGGAUGAUCAGCCACACUGGGACUGAGACACGGCCCAGACUCCUACGGGAGGCAGCAGUGGGGAAUAUUGCACAAUGGGCGCAAGCCUGAUGCAGCCAUGCCGCGUGAGUGAAGAAGGCCUUAGGGUUGUAAAACUCUUUCACCGGUGAAGAUAAUGACGGUAGCCGGAGAAGAAGCCCCGGCUAACUCCGUGCCAGCAGCCGCGGUAAUACGGAGGGGGCAAGCGUUGUUCGGAAUUACUGGGCGUAAAGCGCGCGUAGGCGGACUGGUCAGUUGGGGGUGAAAUCCCGAGGCUCAACCUCGGAACUGCCUUCAAUACUGCCAGUCUAGAGUUCGGAAGAGGUAAGUGGAAUUCCUAGUGUAGAGGUGAAAUUCGUAG
Molecule: ribosomal RNA, 624 nt
Filed under: uncultured Alphaproteobacteria bacterium
Lineage: Bacteria; Pseudomonadati; Pseudomonadota; Alphaproteobacteria
Description: bacterial SSU rRNA
Rfam family: Bacterial small subunit ribosomal RNA
Source: RNAcentral